AGCGAACGCUGGUGGCGUGCUUAACACAUGCAAGUCGAACGUGAAAUGUAGCAAUACAGAGUAAAGUGGCGUACGGGUGAGUAACACGUGGGUAAUCUACCAAAGAGCCUGGAAUAACCGACCGAAAGGUUGGCUAAUACUGGAUAGUUCAAAUGAAAUAUAAUGUUUCGAUUGGGAACGGGAGCGAGCAAUCGCCUUCACUUUUUGAUGAGCCCGCGUCUGAUUAGCUAGUUGGUAGGGUAAUGGCCUACCAAGGCGACGAUCAGUAGCUGGUCUGAGAGGAUGAUCAGCCACACUGGAACUGCAACACGGUCCAGACUCCUACGGGAGGCAGCAGUGGGGAAUCUUGCGCAAUGGACGAAAGUCUGACGCAGCCACGCCGCGUGAGUGAAGAAGGCCUUCGGGUUGUAAAGCUCUGUCGGAAGGGACAAAAACGUUUAAGGUUAAUAGCCUUAGAUCUUGAUGGUACCUUCAAAGGAAGCACCGGCUAACUUCGUGCCAGCCGCCGCGGUAA
Molecule: ribosomal RNA, 514 nt
Filed under: uncultured bacterium
Lineage: Bacteria
Description: partial 16S ribosomal RNA
Rfam family: Bacterial small subunit ribosomal RNA
Source: RNAcentral